This is a long non-coding RNA of Scophthalmus maximus (turbot), 2141 nucleotides long. Lineage: Eukaryota; Metazoa; Chordata; Actinopteri; Pleuronectiformes; Scophthalmidae. The record is from Ensembl.
AUGCUGCGUCAUCGGCGACGUAACACACACACGCACAGGAAGCAGCUUCGGGUCAGUCGGGCUACCUGUGUUGACCAGGGCUUCAGCGCAGAGACAUGGCUCCUGGAAUUCAUUUGGGGUAAGUCAUUCUUUUCACUGAUUCUUUACUUUAAAAAGUACGUUGCUGUUGUGCCCCUGUGCUCUGACCUUGGUGCCCGUUGUCUCCUGUGCAGGACCUUCUUGCUGUUUUGUUUGGUUCAAGCAGAGCAUGUGUGCGGUUCGUGGGCUGCACAAGCCCAGAGACAAAACGGCAAAGCAUUUGUUGGCUUCUCGCAGCAGGACGUCGGCGCCGGCAGCUCUCCCCGGAAUCAAUUCAGACAGGCCUCCGUUUCCCUGGGCUCGGCCCCGAGCAGCAGCAGCAGCAGCAGCAGCAGCAGCAGCCGCAGCAUCAGCCGCCUCUUCAAUCCAGCGCCUGUCGGUAGCAGUGGCCGCACACAAACUGGGCCACAGCCGGCCCCCGGUGGCUACGCUCCAGUCAGGUCGUUGCAGGGCGGCUGGGUGUCCAAACCCAACUGGAGGCCCACCGACUCGAAGCUGGCGAGUGCUCAAGGUGUGCCCAAAAAGCAGUUGUCUGUACUUUCUACUUCUAUCGCCAGUGGAAGUUCUGUGAGUGUGCACACACUGAAAAAGAAAGCCCAUACCGAUGUGAGCGAGAGGAGAACUUGGCCAGGCGAGGGGGCGUCGGCCUCCCGCCACCAGUCUGCAGCACAGAAGCCUCCCAGUCGGUCUUCCAGCAUGUUGGGUGCGGGUGCUCCGGUGCCCCACAAUUCUGUAAAGAGGCGCACUUCGGCCACCGCCCCCGCCAGACGAGUGUCUUCACAGCGCAGAGCCAAGGAGUUUAGACAAGCUCAGAUCACAUCCCCUGAAAAUGAGAGAAAGGGAAACCCCAACUGGAGCAAGCUGUUUCCUGUGACGGGAGGAACUGCCCAAGGAAGCUAUAAGCCUACUUCCAACAUGGCCUCGAGUCUCGCAAGUUAUCCCCGGGCACCCUACAAACAAAACGCUGCCGUUUUUCAGCCACGCGGUCUCAGCCCACCCACAAGCCAGAGGUUUGGCUCCAGUGAGCAGACCCCCGGCAGUACGAGCUCUGUGCGAGCGGGAAGCUCCCCUCAGCGCUACGCCCCGACCAGGACCCUCAACAUCCCUUGGUCCUUCGGUGGCUCACCCAUCAAGCGGCUGAAAGGGUCAGUUGUCCAGAAGCCACAAGUGAAGCACACGGCUGCGUCUCACAACCUGCAGGGUCAAGGUGUUCAACAGAAGCCACAAGUGAAGCACUCGGCUGCGUCUCUCAACCUGCAGGGUCAAGGUGUUCACCCAGAGAGCAAAUGGCAGAGGAUCACCAGGCCGCGUCCAACUGCCUAACAGGUGCAGCAGAAGGACUUGUCCUUGUUUGUGUUUUUGAAAUAAAUUCUUAAUCCAAGUCUUGUCUCGACUUCAUGUGGCACUGCUCUCAAAGCCACAAAUGUCUUUGUGGCUGCACCAUAAAUGUAGACUUGGUGCCACCUAGUGUGUAAAAGGAUGCGAUGCAAAGAUGGCUCCAUCUGAACCAGAUCUGAAUCCCUGCAUUUCUAUUCAGACCUUUUUGAAAAUGCAACAACCAGGUCUCCCUCUCUCCAAAGAUCACCUGGGAAAUGUUACACUUGGGACAAAUGCAGGAACGUUUACAACUUGCUGAAUGUAAACUCUAAAACUUGGCCAAGGCUUUAUACUGCAAAAUACUUAAUAUGCUAGUUUAUAGAUGCUGAUUGUGGGGAAUACAUAUCAGAACACCCAUCUGUCAGUGUUCUUAUGGAAUGAUGACAAUAUCCAAUUGCCUGUUUAUCUCAGUGGUUGAACCCCUCCUCCCUGGCCUUAGUACUUCAGUUGUCCUAAGUAGAUCUCCUGACCUGUUUAAAUCUGUCUCUCCAGAACUUGGAUUCCUGGUAUUAACAUCCAUCCGGAGUAUUAAUUUGAAGUGCCAAUAGCAGUAAUAACAUGCUCUUGCCUAAUUAGCAAUAAAAUAUUAAACCUUUGGCCAAUAUGCAAAUUUGACACCUAGAUGUGGAAUUAAUGUAUGAUUUGGCAUAUUCCCUGUAAUCGACUGGGGGGGACAAUGACGCAGG